This 872-nucleotide ribosomal RNA is filed under the name uncultured bacterium. RNAcentral's name for it is "bacterial SSU rRNA". It matches the Rfam family "Bacterial small subunit ribosomal RNA", at positions 27 to 897 of the family's 1533-position model. The record is from RNAcentral.
GGAUGAACGCUAGCGGCAGGCUUAAUACAUGCAAGUCGAGGGGCAGCACAGGUAGCAAUACUGGGUGGCGACCGGCAAACGGGUGCGGAACACGUACGGAACCUUCCUUUAAGCGGGGAAUAGCCCAGGGAAACUUGGAUUAAUACCCCAUAAUACUUUUGAGUGGCAUCACUUGAUAGUUAAAGCUCCGGCACUUAAAGAUGGGCGUGCGGCUGAUUAGGUAGUUGGCGGGGUAACGGCCCACCAAGCCAACGAUCAGUAACUGGUGUGAGAGCACGACCAGUCACACGGGCACUGAGACACGGGCCCGACUCCUACGGGAGGCAGCAGUAAGGAAUACUGGUCAAUGGACGCAAGUCUGAACCAGCCAUGCCGCGUGGAGGAUGAAGGCCCUCUGGGUUGUAAACUUCUUUUAUUGGGGAAGAAACCCAUCUUUUCUAAGGUGGUUGACGGUACCCGAUGAAUAAGCACCGGCUAACUCCGUGCCAGCAGCCGCGGUAAUACGGAGGGUGCAAGCGUUAUCCGGAUUCACUGGGUCUAAAGGGUGCGUAGGUGGGCAGGUAAGUCAGUGGUGAAAUCUCCGGGCUUAACCCGGAAACUGCCGUUGAUACUAUCUGUCUUGAAUGUAGUGGAGGUGAGCGGAAUAUGUCAUGUAGCGGUGAAAUGCUUAGAUAUGACAUAGAACACCUAUUGCGAAGGCAGCUCGCUACACUAUUAUUGACACUGAGGCACGAAAGCGUGGGGAUCAAACAGGAUUAGAUACCCUGGUAGUCCACGCCCUAAACGAUGGAUACUCGACAUCAGCGAUACACUGUUGGUGUCUGAGCGAAAGCAUUAAGUAUCCCACCUGGGAAGUACGAUCGCAAGAUUGA